AUAUUCAGACACCAUCCUGCUACUUUACUUUUGUCGUCUUCAAUUCCUUCCCCCCAGCCGAGGAAAAAAUAUCCCUAUCUAACUUGUUUCUAAAACCCCCAACAUAUACGGUUUGAAAGAGAAAGAAUGUUCAACGUUUCGAUUCACAUGCAGGAAGUUUGUGUCAGCCCAGAUUGGUGGGUUAAACGGAGGCACGGGAAGGACCCUGUUACACACGCACUCAAACAAAUGUAAGUUCUCUGGAAAUUGAUGAAGUAAAAAUGCCUAUGGCUUCUGUGCUGGUGGAACUUUUGAUUUUCUGUAAACAAGAAUACUGUCGAUCAUGACACAACAAAAGUUGAAAGUUCUAUGGGGCUAGUCAAUUUAUACUAGAUUCUUAUGACCACUCUCUUGGAGUUCUCAUUCAUAAAGACUGCGAAUGGAUGGGCUUUCAGUGGCUGCGAUUCUUCCUGUUGCACCCACCAACUUGCUCGAUUCUUUUUCACAUGCUAGCAUGUCACAGGCGUUGAUGAGCAAGUGAUGAAUUCCCUCCAGUGACAGACUUUAGACAAGCUGCAGAACCACCGGUCAUCUGCUUUACCAUAAUUGCAUUGCACUCAUGCUCAUCCAUGGGGUAUGUAGCAACAGAUGCAGUUUAUCAUUUGCACAAAUAUGGUUAUAUUUUCUUUGAUUCUAGGAUAUGGCAACUCGUAGACAUUAUUUUAUAGUACAUAUAUAUUGAAAUGUGUAAAUGUUUUUGCUUGUAGAUAAAUGAUGUAUGUAUGAUUUUAUGAAGUUUCGUUUUUAGGUUCACUGUAUGCUAAUGCAGCUUAUAAACAACGAAGGAUAACCAUUAUCAUUCCUUAACAUUUCCUUUCUCAGUGAAAGGUGGGAUUUAA
This is a long non-coding RNA of Juglans microcarpa x Juglans regia, 878 nucleotides long. RefSeq lists it as uncharacterized. The transcript has 3 exons. The record is from RefSeq and is a predicted model, not a curated record. Lineage: Eukaryota; Viridiplantae; Streptophyta; Magnoliopsida; Fagales; Juglandaceae.